UACGGGGGGGGCAAGCGUUGUUCGGAAUUACUGGGCGUAAAGGGCGCGUAGGCGGCCUUCUAAGUCAGACGUGAAAUCCCACGGCUUAACCGUGGAACUGCGUCUGAUACUGGAGGGCUUGAAUCCGGGAGAGGGAUGUGGAAUUCCAGGUGUAGCGGUGAAAUGCGUAGAUAUCUGGAGGAACACCGGUGGCGAAGGCGGCAUCCUGGACCGGUAUUGACGCUGAGACGCGAAAGCGUGGGGAGCGAACAGG
RNAcentral lists this ribosomal RNA (253 nucleotides) under uncultured bacterium. Its description in RNAcentral is "partial 16S ribosomal RNA". It matches the Rfam family "Bacterial small subunit ribosomal RNA", at positions 524 to 776 of the family's 1533-position model. The record is from RNAcentral.